RNAcentral lists this ribosomal RNA (406 nucleotides) under uncultured bacterium. RNAcentral describes it as "partial 16S ribosomal RNA". It matches the Rfam family "Bacterial small subunit ribosomal RNA", at positions 30 to 526 of the family's 1533-position model. The record is from RNAcentral.
AUUGAACGCUGGCGGCAGGCCUAACACAUGCAAGUCGAACGAGUGGCGGACGGGUGAGUAAUGUCUGGGAAACUGCCUGAUGGAGGGGGAUAACUACUGGAAACGGUAGCUAAUACCGCAUACCAUCGGAUGUGCCCAGAUGGGAGUAGCUAGUAGGUGGGGUAAAGGCUCACCUAGGCGACGAUCCCUAGCUGGGCUGAGAGGAUGACCGGCCACACUGGGACUGAUACACCGUCCCGACGCCUACGUGAGGCAGCAGUGGGGAAUAUUUCACAAUGGGCGCAAGGCCGAUUCCGCCAUGCCGCGUGUGUGAAGAAGGCCUUCGGGUUGUAAAGUUCUUUCCGCGGGGAGGCGUUACCCGCAGAAGAAGCACCGGCUAACUCCGUGCCAGCAGCCGCGGUAAUAC